Molecule: long non-coding RNA, 1843 nt
Filed under: Fukomys damarensis (Damara mole-rat)
Lineage: Eukaryota; Metazoa; Chordata; Mammalia; Rodentia; Bathyergidae
Description: lncRNA (ENSFDAG00000026597.1)
Source: RNAcentral
GUGUUAAGGGAGGCAGAGAUGAGAGGCUGGAAGGAAAGGAGCUGCACCAGGAGCUAGUGGUCCUCAUCACGGUGUACCCUAAUGAGAUGUCACAUCUGGAAGGAAUGCCACUGGCAUGUAGCGGGCAGAGGCCAGGUACACCCCUAAACCACCUCUAACGCACCGAUCAGCUCCCCUGGAGCAAGCAGUUACUCAGUCCAAAAUGCCUGUGGUGCCACAGCCAAGAAGCCCUAAGUAGCCAGAGAGGGAGGGAGAUUUGGGUGUGGAGAGAUGAGCUCCAGACUCAAAUUCCUAGAUUUCAAUCCCAGCUGGGUCACUAAUUUACUGUUUGACCUUGGGUGAGUCAUUUCCUUUUCCCUGGUCUCAUUUCCAAAGUGCUAAAAGGAGAGAAGAGAAGAAAAGCUUUGAACUCUAAAGCUUCUGGUUGUGAGGAGAGCCGUCAGAAGGUAAAUGGCAGGGCCUUGUGUGGGGGGACUCCCCAAGAGGUGUGCAGACUGGGUGUCAAAGGUCCAGGGAGAAAGGACAGAAGGGCCCACUGGCUGGGCUGGACCCAGUGUGUCCGUGUCCGUGUGUGUGUGUGUGUGUGUGUGUGUGUGUGUGUGUGUGUGUGAUAGAAACAGAUCCCCAGGAUACCCUCCUCUCCUUCCAGCUCUGGGGACCCCAGGGCUGGAUAACCAACCAGGCUGUAUGUACCCUGAGGGCCUUGGCCUUCCAGGGUCUCUACAGGCCUUAUCCCAGCAUGGCAGUGAGUAGGGACAUGCUGCAGAGCAUGCAGCUUGAGAGGAGGCCAGGUGCCCAAUGCCAGAAAGAUUGCUCAGGAAGGCAGUUGGCAGCCGGCAGGCCAAGGUUUGUGCUGGAACAGGGGCAGAGGUACACCCAGCUACCGUCCUCCCGCCUCUCCCCAUUCUGCCAUUUUCAGGACCAGGACACCACUCAGCAGCUCCUCACUGGGGAGAGAGGAAGAGGAUGGGGAGGCUGUGGGCUGGGGAGCAAGGAGGAAAGAGAGGAGAACAGGAUGAGACUAGAGGAAGGAGGAACAAGAAAGACAAUGUGGGAGGCAGAGAGUUAGGGCUUGGCAGACCCAGUAGGCAGGAAAAGAAGAGAGACAGACAAUAAGUUCACAAGCUGGCCCAAACCCACCAGCCAAGUGGGUGCAGCCCUGCCAAGGCAGCUCCCUGGAAAGUGCCUGCAUUGACCCUCUGGUUGGGAACACAUAGGACACUGCCUCUGGCAGGUUCACAAUUCUCACAGAGACCCAUCUGUAUGCUUAGGAUCAGGCCCCAUUCUGGACCCCAGACAGACCCACUGUCUCAGCAGCAGCACAGAGGCACUGGCUACCAAAAUGUCUGCACAGUUGCAGGACCACAGCUCCCAUCACUGAUGGUCAGGGUUGUGCAGUGGGCUGAGGUCUGCUUGGCGCUGGGCACAAGGUGGGGCAUGUGCAGAGGGGUCUGUUUGGCUCUGUGCAUGAAAGGGGUCUGUGUGUUACAUGGAUGUAGCAUGCAGAUUGGUCUCUGUGGUUCUUGCAUGAGUGAGCAUGCAUGACUGAGGGGGCAGAGGUCCUGGGUGGUCUCUGCCUCCUUUCCCAAAUAGGACCAUCCAGGGACAGUUGGGAGUGAACCUCCCUGGCUACAGAGCACCCCAAGGAGCACAGGCCAGGAUGGGAGACAGCAGCCAAGGCACAUGCCCUAAGUCCAUUCUUCCCUGGCAUCCUGUAAGGAGCAUCCCUCAUCCUCAGAGAUUCUCAAGUCAUCAGACAAAGAAAGGUAGAGAGGGAGGAAAGCAAGAGGAAAGAUCUGAGCACCUCUGAGCUUUCAUUUCAAAAUGUGACCUCAUGCCCCAG